This 542-nucleotide ribosomal RNA is filed under the name uncultured bacterium. RNAcentral's name for it is "partial 16S ribosomal RNA". It matches the Rfam family "Bacterial small subunit ribosomal RNA", at positions 355 to 914 of the family's 1533-position model. The record is from RNAcentral.
UGGGGAAUCUUGCGCAAUGGGCGAAAGCCUGACGCAGCCAUGCCGCGUGAAUGAUGAAGGUCUUAGGAUUGUAAAAUUCUUUCACCGGGGACGAUAAUGACGGUACCCGGAGAAGAAGCCCCGGCUAACUUCGUGCCAGCAGCCGCGGUAAUACGAAGGGGGCUAGCGUUGCUCGGAAUUACUGGGCGUAAAGGGAGCGUAGGCGGACAUUUAAGUCAGGGGUGAAAUCCCGGGGGCUCAACCUCGGAACUGCCUUUGAUACUGGGUGUCUUGAGUGUGAUAGAGGUAUGUGGAACUCCGAGUGUAGAGGUGAAAUUCGUAGAUAUUCGGAAGAACACCAGUGGCGAAGGCGACAUACUGGAUCAUUACUGACGCUGAGGCUCGAAAGCGUGGGGAGCAAACAGGAUUAGAUACCCUGGUAGUCCACGCCGUAAACGAUGAUUGCUAGUUGUCGGGGUGUUUACACCUCGGUGACGCAGCUAACGCAUUAAGCAAUCCGCCUGGGGAGUACGGUCGCAAGAUUAAAACUCAAAUGAAUUGAC